RNAcentral lists this ribosomal RNA (253 nucleotides) under uncultured bacterium. Its description in RNAcentral is "partial 16S ribosomal RNA". It matches the Rfam family "Bacterial small subunit ribosomal RNA", at positions 524 to 776 of the family's 1533-position model. The record is from RNAcentral.
UACGGAGGGUGCAAGCGUUGUUCGGAAUUACUGGGCGUAAAGCGCGUGUAGGCGGCUCUCUAAGUCUGAUGUGAAAGCCCGGGGCUUACCCCCGGAAGUGCAUAGGAAACUGGGGAGCUAGAGUAUCGGAGAGGAGGGUGGAAUUCCUGGUGUAGCGGUGAAAUGCGUAGAUAUCAGGAAGAACACCGGUGGCGAAGGCGGCCCUCUGGACGAAUACUGACGCUGAGACGCGAAAGCGUGGGGAGCAAACAGG